AUGGCGUGCCCGGCGGCGGCGCUGCUCCUGCCGCUCCUGCUCGGCUUCCUGGCGCCGGCGCGGGCCACCGACCCCUACGCCUUCUUCGACUGGGACGUCUCCUACGUCACCAGAUCCCCGCUCGGCGUCCCGCAGAAGGUGAUCGCGAUCAACAAGGAGUUCCCGGGCCCCGUCGUCAACGUCACCACAAACUACAACGUCGCCGUCAACGUCCUCAACAGCCUCGACGAGCCGCUCUUAAUCACCUGGGACGGCAUCCAGCAGCGGAAGAACUGCUGGCAGGACGGGGUGCUGGGCACCAACUGCCCCAUCCCGCCGGGCUGGAACUGGACCUACAACUUCCAGGUCAAGGACCAGAUCGGCAGCUUCUUCUACUUCCCGCCGCUCUCCAUGCAGCGCGCCGCGGGCGGCUUCGGUGGCAUCACCGUCAACAACCGCGCCGUCAUCUCCGUCCCCUUCGACACCCCCGACGGCGACAUCAGGCUCUUCAUCGGCGACUGGUACAAGAAGAACCACACGGACCUCAGGAAGAUGCUCGAUGACGGGAAGGAGCUCGGGAUGCCUGACGGUGUUCUGAUGAACGGCAAGGGGCCGUAUCGGUACAAUGACUCCCUCGUCCCGGCUGGGAUCGAGUACGAGACCAUCGAUGUUGAGCCAGGCAAAACGUACCGCUUCAGAGUCCACAACGUGGGCAUCUCCACCAGCUUGAACCUGAGGAUCCAGGGCCACAACAUGGCCAUGGUCGAGACAGAGGGCUCCUAUACGAUGAAGCAGAAUUUCACCAACCUCGACAUCCAUGUGGGGCAGUCCUACUCCUUUCUGGUCACGAUGGACCAGAAUGCAAGCAGCGACUAUUACAUCGUGGCCAGCGCUCGGUUCGUGAACGAGUCGCUCUGGACCAGGGUCACUGGCGUUGCAAUUCUGCACUACUCGAAUUCAAAGGGCAAGGCGUCUGGUCCACUCCCUGAUCCGCCGAAUGAUGAGUACGACAAAACCUUCUCCAUGAACCAGGCACGGUCAAUCAGGAUGAACGUGACCACUGGUGCUGCUCGUCCGAACCCUCAAGGAUCAUUUCACUAUGGCCAAAUCAACGUGACCCAAGUGUACAAGCUGAGGAACAUGCCACCUGUUACCAUCAAUGGCAAAAAGCGGACUACGCUGAAUGGCAUCUCUUACUCCCCGCCUGCUACUCCAUUGAGGCUUGCGGAUCUCUAUGACAAGAAAGAAGUCUACACACUCGACUUCCCAACCAUGCCGUCUGAUGGACCGCCGGUUAUCAGGUCUUCUGUCAUCAACUCGACGUACAAGAACUUCAUGGAGAUUGUGUUUCAGAACAAUGACACGAAAGUUCAGACCUACCAUAUCGAUGGAUACGCCUUCUGGGUCGUAGGAAUGGACUACGGUGAGUGGACCGACAACAGCCGUGGGACAUACAACAAGUGGGAUGGUGUUUCCCGUUGCACCACUCAGGUGUUUCCCGGAGCAUGGACCGCCGUCCUGUUGUCGCUUGACAGCCCGGGGUUCUGGAACGUGCGCACGGAGAACCUGGACACGUGGUACCUCGGCCAGGAGACGUACAUCAGGGUGGUGGAUCCUGACGGAGGCUACAACGUGACCGAGUCGGUGUUACCAGACAACGCCCUCUUCUGUGGCCUCCUCAGGGAAAAGCAGAAGGCUCAGAAGCCGCACGGGUCGUCGUCGAGCUCGGCGUCCCCUGCGCUAAAACAGAGUGGCUACCUGCUGCCAUUCUUGGUGUUGCUGGUCGCAUUGGCGGUCAUGGGACACUGA
RNAcentral lists this ribosomal RNA (1788 nucleotides) under Triticum aestivum (bread wheat). RNAcentral's name for it is "partial small subunit ribosomal RNA". The record is from RNAcentral. Lineage: Eukaryota; Viridiplantae; Streptophyta; Magnoliopsida; Poales; Poaceae.